UACGGAGGAUGCGAGCGUUAUCCGGAUUUAUUGGGUUUAAAGGGUGCGUAGGCGGGCUGUUAAGUCAGCGGUCAAAUGUCGGGGCUCAACCCCGGCCUGCCGUUGAAACUGGCGGCCUCGAGUGGGCGAGAAGUAUGCGGAAUGCGUGGUGUAGCGGUGAAAUGCAUAGAUAUCACGCAGAACUCCGAUCGCGAAGGCAGCAUACCGGCGCCCGACUGACGCUGAGGCACGAAAGCGUGGGUAUCGAACAGG
RNAcentral lists this ribosomal RNA (252 nucleotides) under uncultured bacterium. Its description in RNAcentral is "partial 16S ribosomal RNA". It matches the Rfam family "Bacterial small subunit ribosomal RNA", at positions 524 to 776 of the family's 1533-position model. The record is from RNAcentral.